This 77-nucleotide transfer RNA is filed under the name Salmonella enterica. Its description in RNAcentral is "tRNA-Gly". It matches the Rfam family "tRNA". Rfam says of the family: Transfer RNA (tRNA) molecules are approximately 80 nucleotides in length. Lineage: Bacteria; Pseudomonadati; Pseudomonadota; Gammaproteobacteria; Enterobacterales; Enterobacteriaceae. RNAcentral also lists the same sequence under 1 other name. The record is from RNAcentral.
CCGCCACUAGCUCAUCAGGAUAGAGCAGCAGCCUUCCGGGUUGUUGGUACGAGGUUCAAAUCCUCGGUGGCGGACCA